This 200-nucleotide unclassified non-coding RNA is filed under the name uncultured Sebacina. RNAcentral describes it as "sequence contains ITS2". Lineage: Eukaryota; Fungi; Basidiomycota; Agaricomycetes; Sebacinales; Sebacinaceae. The record is from RNAcentral.
GUACUCUCACACUUCCGAUCUUUGGAUUGCGAGUGAUGGACUUGGGUGUUGCUGCUUAACUGUGGCUCACCUCAAAUGGAGUAGUGCAACUCUUGGUUGGACAUAGUACGGCGUGAUAAGUGUCUUCGCCGGCACCUCGUAAUAGAGGGUGGCCGAUCGGGAGCUCUGUGCUUCAAACCGUCUUCGGACAAUGACUGACA